RNAcentral lists this ribosomal RNA (885 nucleotides) under Nesterenkonia sp. S1-21. RNAcentral's name for it is "bacterial SSU rRNA". It matches the Rfam family "Bacterial small subunit ribosomal RNA", at positions 106 to 1002 of the family's 1533-position model. Lineage: Bacteria; Bacillati; Actinomycetota; Actinomycetes; Micrococcales; Micrococcaceae. The record is from RNAcentral.
GUGAGUAUCAGGUGAGUAACCUUCCCUUGACUCUGGGAUAAGCCCGGGAAACUGGGUCUAAUACCGGAUACGACCAGUCCUCGCAUGGGGUGCUGGUGGAAAGAUUUAUCGGUCUUGGAUGGACUCGCGGCCUAUCAGCUUGUUGGUGAGGUAAUGGCUCACCAAGGCGAUGACGGGUAGCCGGCCUGAGAGGGUGACCGGCCACACUGGGACUGAGACACGGCCCAGACUCCUACGGGAGGCAGCAGUGGGGAAUAUUGCACAAUGGGCGAAAGCCUGAUGCAGCGACGCCGCGUGCGGGAUGACGGCCUUCGGGUUGUAAACCGCUUUCAGCAGGGAAGAAGCGAAAGUGACGGUACCUGCAGAAGAAGCGCCGGCUAACUACGUGCCAGCAGCCGCGGUAAUACGUAGGGCGCGAGCGUUAUCCGGAAUUAUUGGGCGUAAAGAGCUCGUAGGCGGUUUGUCACGUCUGCUGUGAAAGCCCGAGGCUCAACCUCGGGUGUGCAGUGGGUACGGGCAGACUAGAGUGCAGUAGGGGAGACUGGAAUUCCUGGUGUAGCGGUGAAAUGCGCAGAUAUCAGGAGGAACACCGAUGGCGAAGGCAGGUCUCUGGGCUGUUACUGACGCUGAGGAGCGAAAGCAUGGGGAGCGAACAGGAUUAGAUACCCUGGUAGUCCAUGCCGUAAACGUUGGGCACUAGGUGUGGGGGACAUUCCACGUUUUCCGCGCCGUAGCUAACGCAUUAAGUGCCCCGCCUGGGGAGUACGGCCGCAAGGCUAAAACUCAAAGGAAUUGACGGGGGCCCGCACAAGCGGCGGAGCAUGCGGAUUAAUUCGAUGCAACGCGAAGAACCUUACCAAGGCUUGACAUGGACCGGAUCGCUGC